UGCCAGCAGCCGCGGUAAUACGAAGGGACCUAGCGUAGUUCGGAAUUACUGGGCUUAAAGAGCUCGUAGGUGGUUAAAAAAGUUGAUGGUGAAAUCUCAAGGCUUAACCUUGGAACUGCCAUCAAAACUUUUUAGCUAGAGUAUGAUAGAGGAAAGUGGAAUUUCUAGUGUAGAGGUGAAAUUCGUAGAUAUUAGAAAGAACACCAAAUGCGAAGGCAACUUUCUGGAUCAUUACUGACACUGAGGAGCGAAAGCUAGGGGAGCAAACAGGAUUAGAUA
RNAcentral lists this ribosomal RNA (279 nucleotides) under uncultured bacterium. RNAcentral describes it as "partial 16S ribosomal RNA". It matches the Rfam family "Bacterial small subunit ribosomal RNA", at positions 506 to 784 of the family's 1533-position model. The record is from RNAcentral.